RNAcentral lists this ribosomal RNA (515 nucleotides) under uncultured bacterium. RNAcentral's name for it is "partial 16S ribosomal RNA". It matches the Rfam family "Bacterial small subunit ribosomal RNA", at positions 28 to 523 of the family's 1533-position model. The record is from RNAcentral.
GAUGAACGCUGGCGGCGUGCCUAAUACAUGCAAGUCGAGCGAAUGGAUUAAGAGCUUGCUCUUAUGAAGUUAGCGGCGGACGGGUGAGUAACACGUGGGUAACCUGCCCAUAAGACUGGGAUAACUCCGGGAAACCGGGGCUAAUACCGGAUAACAUUUUGAACCGCAUGGUUCGAAAUUGAAAGGCGGCUUCGGCUGUCACUUAUGGAUGGACCCGCGUCGCAUUAGCUAGUUGGUGAGGUAACGGCUCACCAAGGCAACGAUGCGUAGCCGACCUGAGAGGGUGACCGGCCACACUGGGACUGAGAAACGGCCCAGACUCCUACGGAAGGCAGCAGUAGGGAAUCUUCCGCAAUGGACGAAAGUCUGACGGAGCAACGCCGCGUGAGUGAUGAAGGCUUUCGGGUCGUAAAACUCUGUUGUUAGGGAAGAACAAGUGCUAGUUGAAUAAGCUGGCACCUUGACGGUACCUAACCAGAAAGCCACGGCUAACUACGUGCCAGCAGCCGCCGUAA